Molecule: long non-coding RNA, 2105 nt
Filed under: Sus scrofa (pig)
Lineage: Eukaryota; Metazoa; Chordata; Mammalia; Artiodactyla; Suidae
Description: lncRNA (ENSSSCG00030055067.1)
Source: RNAcentral
GGCUAGGGGUCAAAUUGGAGCUGCAUCUGCCAGCCUACGUCACAGCCACAGCAACACCAGAUCUGAGCCGAACCUGCGACCUACACCAUAGCUUACGGCAACGUCGGAUCCUUAAGCUACUGAGCGAAGCCAGGGAUCGAACCUGAAACCUCAUGGUUCCUAGUCGGGUUCGUUUCUGCUAUGCCACAACGGGGACUCCUGGGGAUGGACUUUUUAAGCAAGAGUUUUUAAUGCCCUCUCUGGGUAUAACACCACAAUGACCUCUGAAGAGGAUACAAGAGAGGAUGAGAAUGUGGGGAACGGCCACAAAGAGAUAAGGAAUCCCUGGAGGAGAGACCUCUGGUGCUCACGCUGUAAUUGGAGCGAUCUCAGCAGAAGGCACCGCAAACUGAGUGGUGCAGGUGGGGCCAAGGGGGCAUUUCAGACUAACCGGGUGGGCCAGGUGGGGCUGGGCGGCGAGGGGGGCGGUGGUGAGAGAAGACUGUGGAUUCCAGAGUAGGCAAGCCUACCUUUGAAUCUUGAUCUCUGCCCUUUCAAUGAAGUAUCAGGCAAGUCCCCGACCAUCUCCGAGUCUCCUGUGUAAAAGGCUUGUAGGAGGGUUGAAAUAACCCCGGGUGUGCAAUAUCUGACACAGUAUAGGAAUCCUGUACGUGUUAGCUCCAUCCCGAGAUGCCAUCUGAGACUCACAUGAGACCUUUGUCCAUGUCCCUCUAUAAAUGUGCCUUUACAACAUGCUAUGGUCCACCCCACUCCCAACCAUUAUUUUCCGAGCUCAUUGGCCAAGGAUGGGUGAGAGGGAGAAGGGAGCGGAAAGGCCCUCGGGAGGAUUCAUUCCUACGGCAUCUGGAUACAGAUCAGAUCCCCUACUUCCAUAACAUGCACGUUUCAUUUAGAUACACAGGGGUAGGAUUGGGUUCCUGGGGAGAAACUGAGCCUCUUCACGUCUGCCCGGUCUAAAUCAAGCAGUCCCUUGGUUACCCACUCCCGGGCUUUGUGAUUGGUCGGCUGCGAAGGUGGGGGAGGAGGGAAGUCGGCGGCUGAUGGAGCGGCAGCAUCCCUUAGCCUCAGGCCCCAGGAGGGGGAGGGAAAAAGCAGGGCUGAGCCGGGGAGGGAAGGGGGAGCCAUUUCUCUCCACUGACCGCCACCUCCGUGCUCACCGCUCGCGUUUCCCCGGCAUCCGGAGGCCUCCCCAGCCAAGGACUCCACAAUGCUGGAUAUUUUCAUCCUGAUGUUCUUUGCCAUUAUAGGCCUGGUCAUUCUGUCCUAUAUUAUCUAUCUGCUCUAGGGGCCCGCAGCGGCGGCGUGGAGCCCGCAGGAGAACAGCGCAUGGGGGAAGGAUGAAGCUGACUGGCGGAGGAGCAUCCUGCCUGCUGACGCAUCGGUGGAUUUUUGCUUCUGCUCCUGGACUCUGGUGCCACGAGAGGCCCCUUUAUCAACAGCAGGAGUCCUGCUGUCCAGCAGACCUCUUCCAGAACCUUCCGGAUAUGGUUCGCCCUUGUCAAGCAAGGGGCUUUCUGAGUUCAGAGGCAGAGGCAGUCGGCUGGGACGUCAGGAAUUCACGGGCAUGGCCGGCAGCUGCUGCAUGCAAUGAAGCUUGUAGACACAGGGAGCGGAAAUGUAGACUCGUUAAAGUUACCGUGGAGGAUCGCUCCGAAAUUCAUUCUGAUAGCUUUUCCUGAAGUCUAAAUGCCACCACAUAUGAUGCUGCAAUACGUUCUUUCCUUUCUCUCUCACACGCAGGGGUUCCCUUGUGUUAAGUCCUAGAGCACAUUAUCUGUCUUCAUCUAUGAGGCGGUCACUUUAUCACGGUCUUCAGGGAUUACACAAUCUGAGGUUGUGUGGUUUCCCGUGUCUCACUCUCUAGAAGGAACUAGUCAUUUGAGUUUUUAAGAUUUCUCAUAUCUUUCCAGACCCCUUGUGCUCCAGCAUCUCAUUCAAAGAGAGAAACAGUUAUAUUGUCCUCAUUCUUGGUGCCUAACUAAAUUACAAAUGAUUGAAAAAAGAUGGCUAGACUUAUCUUGUUAUUUGGAAAAAAAUCUCUCUCAUACCCCCAAAUAAAUGUUUUUUAUAUUGUCAAAUGGUCUUUUUUUUAAAAAAAAAAAAAA